GCUGAAACGGAGAAGACAAACGGAACGUAGCCAAACAAACCAGAGGACCUGAAAUUAAGUAAUAAAGUUAGUUAGGAAAAGAAAACAUGGCUAGUGGAAAAUCUGAUUGACUGGUAACUUUUAAAUCUACUAGCCAUGUGGCUGGUGAUCACAAAAGUUAAUCUUAAGCCAUGUCUAUACCUAGUACUGAUCCAGAAU
Etheostoma spectabile (orangethroat darter) is the source of this 198-nucleotide long non-coding RNA. RefSeq lists it as uncharacterized. The transcript is spliced from 3 exons. Lineage: Eukaryota; Metazoa; Chordata; Actinopteri; Perciformes; Percidae. The record is from RefSeq and is a predicted model, not a curated record.